ACAGGAACUGAAGUUCCUUCAUCUCCUUCCUUCGCCUGAAUUGCAACAGCCCACAAACCAAUUUUGUCAACAUUCAACUCUUGUCAGUAGAAACUUGAAUAUCAGCCCACUAAAUCAGAUUUUUGGGUAAAUAUUCAAAGGCCAUAACUCUCUCACCUCACUCCCUCCAUUAAUGGAGCUUGACUAAACUCCACAAGUUCAGAAAUUCUUCUCUAUAAAUAGCAACCAAACACAUUCAAUUGCUCAAGCAAACAACUUCAAAGGUUUGCUUUAAUUCCUUUAUCUUCUUCCUUAACUUCUGAAAAUUGUUUUGAAAAUUAAAAAUGAAAUUUCAAUCCACCAUUAUCAUCAACCUCUGCUUCUUCGAACCACACCACAAAACCGCCGCACCACCACUCGAAAAACCACCAGUCAAACCCGACCACCCUCGAACCACCUAAGUCGCGCCACCAACGCGACAUACCACCGACAUUCGCAGUCCUCCUUUGCGCAGCCUUUGCUGCGUCGCGACUGCUUCUUUCGCAGCGCUCUCCAGCCGCCUGGCCGUGUUCCGGCCAAAAUCCGCCAGCCUCGACUGAAACCCGCCGUAUGCCGGCCAAAUCCAGUACCACAGAAUUCCUUUGCGUCCCCUGUUUUGCCCCUCUCUGCUUCGUUUCUCUGUUUGAGAAACUGAGACUACGACUUCAUAGACGAGGAUUAUCAAGAGCGCUAAUCUGUUCGUGAACUUAACUUUUGGACACGCGUCACGAGGUGGGUGAUCGAGCGGGGGAAACAAAAGGGAGAUCAUUUAGAGUUGUCAUCCACUUAGCAUAUGAUUAGCUUCUGCUGGAAACUCUGAACACUUGAUUAAUUAGUAAUGUUAAUGAACGAUUUACUUAGUUGUAAUAUUUAAUGAAUUUGAGUUGGUGGGUUGUAACUUAGCCUUGCAUUUAUUUCCAAGGAGAUAAUUGUGGCGGUAGCACCACCUCGUCGAGUCGAACCCUCAUGGAUUCGUUUUCCCCCAAAACCCGAGUUUCAUCGAAAUGAAAAAGGGUUCGGGUCGGCGAGGGUGUUACAGUGUAGGAGUCCCUUAUCGCAAACAUAAGAAUUGAUGAAGAGGCUCUAUGAGCUGGUAUUACUAAAUUCUUACCUUUGGAAGAGGAUCAAUGUGGUGCAUCAUUUACAAAGAAUGAUGGCCAGCAGCCUUGAGGAGGUGUCAGACACUUUAUGAACUGACAGAGAACAAGGCGGCUACAGGAGACGGGAGCUACCCACGUGAGCUCACCAUCUUCGUUCUGAAGCUUAAGAAGGAAAGAUAAUGUAUCGAAUUUAACUAAUUGCUUAUCUUUCUUAUAAUAAAGAAAGGUCUUGGCACUGAAUAAAGAUCAGAUUGAGCGAGAACCCUUUUUGAUUCCCCUGCCCUAUAGGAUUUAAAAACUUUUCCUGGUAAGUUGAAGUUUAGGUGGUCUGGUCCAUUUUAUGUCACUAAUACUAACAAGUUUGGUUCUAUUGAGGUGAUGAAUGCAACAGGUGGGAAGUUCAAAGUUAAUGGUCGACGCUUAAAGUUGUACCAUACAGGAAUCCCUAUUGAAUCUGUGCAGGAUUCAUACCUCCAACCCCCAUCCCCUUCAGCUUGAGGGAUGAAGCCUUAUAGUCGUGCGGGACCUUUGCGUUACUCGGGAGACAACAAGAUUUCCCUUUUUCUUUUCUUUUCAUCUUUUUUUUAGUUAGUUUUUCUAUUUUUUGUAGUUUGCUAAGAGAGUGGAGAGUACUAAUCAUCACUUUAAAGCUAUAUAUGUGCAGAAUUGUUGUCCAAUUGGAAAAAAAACGCACAAAUAUCAACGCAUGAAAUCACCUAAUUAGGAGGUUUGCUCGAUCGUCUCAGGCAACCUCGCCCGAUCGGGCCCGCUACAAGAAGCUGGCUGAAGAAAAACAAUGUACGCCAAUGCAAUUGGGCCAUAUCGCCCGAUCGGGCAACCCUCCGUCAAAAUUUCGAAACGAGAAACAGCAAAGAAGCAGGUUCGCCCAAUGCUGUCGAGCGACUACGCCCGAUCGGGCCCGCAACCAAAAUCUGGAUAUGAAGAAAAAACGUUUACCCGAUCGGGCCUGAGAACAAAACUGGCGGAGAAUACAAAGCAAAAAAGACGCCCGUUUGAGCUCGUGUUUGCAGAUUGAUAUUCUGAUUUAUCUUACUCUUUCACUCUCUUUUUCUCACAACCUCUCUCUCUCUCUCCUUCAAACCCCCUGUUGUAUUCAAUGUUUUAAUGAUGACAAAUAAUGUUAUUGAGACUAGAAAAAUAAAUUGAGUCUAGGAAAUUAAUUAUGUAACUUAGAAUUUAUUUUACAUAAAUUAAUAUUAUCUUGAGUUUAAUUUAUUUAUAACUUGUGGAGAAAUGGUUAUGAGUUUAACCUAGUCAAGUUAUUUAAAUAAAUUAAUUCAUAUGCUCGAAAUAUUGUAUGUUAUAAAAUUGUUAAUCUAAUGUCAUGGAAUAUUAUUUUGUAAAAAUAAUCUGCAUGAUGUUCGAAGAGAAUAUGUUUGUUACUUUCCUGUAAAAUGAACGGCUGAAAUCAUGGGCGUAACAAACUAAGCUAUUGCGAAGGACACUAAAUUCAAGUUGUGGUUCCUGUCUUCUCAUGAGUCAGUUCCUAGAAUCUUGGAGGAGUAACCAACUACCCAUGAAGAUAGCCCACAACAACUAUAAGUGCUGAAACUAUGGAGUGGUGGCUGAAUGAACGUGGAUUUAGUGGGAAAAACAACGUGGUUAUUAUGGGUACAUUAACGGAUAGAUCGUGGGUCAUUCUAACUCCCACGUUUAUGUAAUGGAGCAAAAAUAGGACCUGAUGUGGUUUUCUAUAUAUAGCUCGACGAUCAACCAGAAUAAACAACACUUUCCAGAUUUAUUGAAAUAUUUUGUGUGAAAGUUUAUUUUCGGUUAUUACUCUUCAAACAAUUAUUGUAAUACUUUUGGAGUGUGGGUUGAGAGAAUUAAAAUCUUGUAUUCAAGAGAGAGAAAAGGGAAAGAGAAGACUUCUAGUGCAGUCAAGUGAGGAAAGUCACGUGUUCAGGGGGAACAAGGUGACUGGAAACUGGUUCCUAGAGGAACUAAGUGAGGAUUGAUUUAUAAUAAGUUGUAAUAACUAUUAUAAAUAAAAGAGCAAGGUUCUUCCUAAAGAAUUGUCGAAGAGAACCUUGUUAAAGGGA
Molecule: long non-coding RNA, 3181 nt
Organism: Beta vulgaris subsp. vulgaris (sugar beet)
Lineage: Eukaryota; Viridiplantae; Streptophyta; Magnoliopsida; Caryophyllales; Amaranthaceae
Exons: 3
Source: RefSeq, a predicted model, not a curated record